GUUGUAAGAUGUUAUUGGUCUUCGCUCGUCUCAACGGUCACACCGUAAACAUAUUAUUUGUCAUAUUCAUGUUUACGAAAACAAGAUUUGUUGAAUGCUGAUAGACUACACAUUCUCUUAAUAUUUUUUUCACUAGAAUUAUGUCCAAGGUAUCAUUGAACGGGCACGAGAUAUCCUACGAGAGGAAGAGGCCUAGAGGCGAGAUCGAGGAUUACAGUAGAGAGCAAGGCAGACUUGGAAGGGAAGAAGAAAUGUUAGGAAAUCACGAAGAACGAAGACCUCAUUGGCAAAGAUCAUGGAGAAUUACAGAAUAUGCAGUCUGCUUUAAGUCUGGAAGAUAGGGAAGAUUUCUUUGUUCCAAGGAAACUGUUCUUCUUCAAGAUUGACACCUUCAAUUUCAAACCAAGUCCACAGAGCGAGGGUCAAAUCUCUGAGACAAACGUCGAUGUCCAGUAUCACAGACCUUCUACCUCCGCACAAGAUUGCACUCCGGGUGAAAAGGUCACUCGUGGUAAAGGAAACCGCUCUUGGAGGAAACGGGUCCUUAGAUUCUUCGGGUUUCAGUAAAGUUGGAACCAUAUGUUGCAGUUUAAAUAAACAUCAAAGAAACUUUACUGAAAACACGAGAACAAUUAAAGAUAUUGAUAUUAAAUUUGUUGAUCAACAAUGAA
Ostrea edulis (European flat oyster) is the source of this 671-nucleotide long non-coding RNA. RefSeq lists it as uncharacterized. Lineage: Eukaryota; Metazoa; Mollusca; Bivalvia; Ostreida; Ostreidae. The record is from RefSeq and is a predicted model, not a curated record. The transcript is spliced from 5 exons.